RNAcentral lists this unclassified non-coding RNA (335 nucleotides) under soil metagenome. RNAcentral's name for it is "partial contains 5.8S ribosomal RNA, internal transcribed spacer 2, and large subunit ribosomal RNA". The stretch from base 1 to 120 matches the Rfam family "5.8S ribosomal RNA", at positions 35 to 154 of the family's 154-position model. The record is from RNAcentral.
GAUGAAGAACGUAGCGAAAUGCGAUAAGUAGUGUGAAUUGCAGAAUUCAGUGAAUCAUCGAAUCUUUGAACGCACAUUGCGCCCUUUGGUAUUCCUUAGGGCAUGCCUGCUCGAGCGUCAUUUAAACCUUCAAGCUCAGCUUGGUGAUGGGUGACUGUCCUCCCCUCGCGGGGGGACUCGCCUCAAAAACAUUGGCGGCCGGUACAUUGGCUUCGAGCGCAGCAGAAACGCGGUCUCGAGUCCGGUGGAUCGGCUCCCAUAAGUCUAUUCUUUUAUUUUGACCUCGGAUCAGGUAGGGAUACCCGCUGAACUUAAGCAUAUCAAUAAGCGGAGGA